AUGUAAAGUACUCAGACAACAGGAGCAGAUGAAAGAAGGAAGAAUGUUGUAGGUCUACAAUGUUUAGUAAAAACUGGGGAAAGAGGGCUCUGCAGUCCAAGUCCGAUCCGAAGUUCGGGAAUCAUUGGAAGGGAGAACUGCAGAAGCCUUCGAGUUGCCCAGCCACAGUCAGCACCAGGACAACAGGUUGAGCAGCAACAUGGAAUACCUGACCAGAGCCUUCCCACUAAGGUGAAAGCAUUCCUUGGUCAAAGUGUAAGUGCUUGCCUAGCUGAGUCUAAACGAGAUGGCUCUGCACUGCAACAGCGAUGCUCUCUAAGACGAUGCCCAGCUAGAGAGUUGUGCCAGCUGUGAUGGAUGCCCCACCUGGCUCAGCAGGAGCAUGUCAUGGAGCCUUCUGCAGACCACGUGAUGUUUGCUCCAGAAGGAGGACUUGCCAAGGACACGUUGCAGUUCCCACUGACACAGU
This is a long non-coding RNA of Varanus komodoensis (Komodo dragon), 469 nucleotides long. RefSeq lists it as uncharacterized. The record is from RefSeq and is a predicted model, not a curated record. The transcript is spliced from 3 exons. NCBI's taxonomy places the organism in Eukaryota, Metazoa, Chordata, Lepidosauria, Squamata, Varanidae.